CGCUCCCGGUCCCCCGCCCCCGGCCCUCGCCUUCACCUUGACCUGAGCCCGCUCCGGGGCCCAGGAGCUUUGCAUAAACAAAGAGAGAAGGAGGAGACGAUCAGGGCACCGCCCUCGGCCCGCCGGCGCCCCCGCACCCGUCCCGGGACCCCAAGUCCAUCCCGUGCGCAAGCCCCCGGUGGGGCCAGCCCGCCCGCAGCCCCCUUACCUUGGCCUGGCAUUUCCGAUGACAGGAGAAGCUGCAGACUGCAAGAGGGCGAGACACAGAAAGAAAGUUUAGCCGCGAGGGUAACAUGUCACAUCGCAGGGGAACAAGGACAGGAGAACGCCAGCCCCGGCUCCUAGCAUCCCUCAGAGGCCUGAGUCCUCCCUGGACACACGUCUGAGGACCAACCCCACUGGAACAGACUCCACUGAAGUCCAGUGACCCUGCAAGACAAAGUCCCCCAGCCGGGGAGGGACCGUGUCCAACCAAAGCUCCGUGGAACCCAGGAGCCCCCACCUCAGCCCCUGGGUGUCAACACUGCCCACCUACCCCCCACAGCAGCCCUGCAGCAGGGAGGGGUCUGCAGGUUACCUGCAGGGGUGGAGCGUCGUUACCCCAGCCCCAGCCCUUGGCCACCUCCUGCCUCCCCAGGCAGCUCGGACUCUGUCCUGGGGUGGCUUCCGGCCUCUCAGGAACACAGGAAGCCAACAUUGUUGGGAUCUAAAUGGCCUUUUCCUCCUGGCCUCGGGUCGGAAAAUGAGCACAUAGCCUUGGUGUGCACCUGACCCCAGUAUAACUGCCUGCCUGCCCAGCCAGCCUCCGCUUCUUCCCCAGCCGCGAAGAGACCUUCACAGCACCCACCUGCCCACCAGGACUCACAGCCCUCCCCUGCUUUGCUUCUUUCCAUGGCCUGGCCUGGAGGUGGGUCUUGUCCAAUCAGUUGAAGGCCCGAACCACAAAGAUUGAUCUCCCCCAGCAAGAAGAAAUGCUGCCAGCAUUGGGACUUGAACUGCAGCUCCUCCCCGGGUUUCCAACUUAAUGAUCUGCCCUGCAGAUUUUGGACUUGCCUAGUCUCUGCAAUCAUGUGAGCCAAUUCCUUAAAAUAAAUGCC
This is a long non-coding RNA of Phacochoerus africanus (Common warthog), 1097 nucleotides long. RefSeq lists it as uncharacterized. The transcript is spliced from 3 exons. NCBI's taxonomy places the organism in Eukaryota, Metazoa, Chordata, Mammalia, Artiodactyla, Suidae. The record is from RefSeq and is a predicted model, not a curated record.